UUGGCCAUUUUUCCGCUGGGGGGUCUUGGGACCCCGACCUUCGGGAGCUGGUUUUUGGGCGCGUCUGUGCCCGUGGCCUAUUUUGGGCACACGGAGGCCGCCCGCCAAGUCUGGUGCCAUUCCGAGUCCCGCGGAUGAACUUCGCCCACGCCCCCCACCAAGGCUAUAGCCCACCCGUUUUUUGGCAUUUUUCCGCUGGGGGGUCUUGGGACCCCGACCUUCGGGUGCUGUAUUUUGGGCGCGGCUGUGCCCGCGGCGUAUUUUUGGCACACGGAGGCGGCCUGCCAAGUCUGGUGCCAUUCCGAGUCCCGCGGACGAACUUCGCCCACGCCCCCCACCAAGGCUAUAGCCCACCCGUUUUUUGGCCAUUUUUCCGCUGGGGGGUCUUGGGACCCCGACCUUCGGGGGCUGGUUUUUUGGCGCGGCUGUGCCCGUGGCCUAUUUUUGGCACACGGAGGCCGCCCGCCAAGUCUGGUGCCAUUCCGAGUCCCGCGGACGAACUUCGCCCACGCCCCCCACCAAGGCUAUAGCCCACCCGUUUUUUGGCCAUUUUUCCGCUGGGGGGUCUUGGGACCCCGAACUUCGGGGGCUGUUUUUUUGGCGCGGCUGUGCCCGUGGCCUAUUUUUGGCACACGGCGGCCGCCCGCCAAGUCUGGUGCCAUUCCGAGUCCUGCGGACGAACUUCGCCCACGCCCCCCACCAAGGCUAUAGCCCACCCGUUUUUUGGACAUUUUUCCGCUGGGGGGUCUUGGGACCCCGACCUUCGGGGGCUGUUUUCUGGGCGCAGCUGUGCCCGUGGCCUAUUUUUGGCACACGGAGGCCGCCCGCCAAUUGUGGUGCCAUUCCGAGUCCCGCGGACGAACUUCGCCCACGCCCCCCACCAAGGCUAUAGCCCACCCGUUUUUUGGCCAUUUUUCCGCUGGGGGGUCUUGGGACCCCGACCUUCGGGGGCUGGUUUUUGGGCGCGGCUGUGCCCGUGGCCUCUUUUUGGUACACGGAGGCCGCCCGCCAAGUCUGGUGCCAUUCCGAGUCCCGCGGACGAACUUCGCCCACGCCCCCCACCAAAGCUAUAGCCCACCCGUUUUUUGGCCAUUUUUCCGCUGGGGGGUCUUGGGACCCCGACCUUCCGGGGCUGUUUUUUGGGCCCGGCUGUGCCCGUGGCCUAUUUUUGGCACACGGAGGCCGCCAGCCAAGUCUGGUGCCAUUCCGAGUCCCGCGGACGAACUUCGCCCACGCCCCCCACCAAGGCUAUAGCCCACCCGUUUUUUCGCCAUUUUUCCGCUGGGGGGUCUUUGGACCCCGACCUUCGGGGGCUGUUUUUUGGGCGCGGCUGUGCCCGUGGCCUAUUUUUGGCACACGGAGGCCGCCCGUCAAGUCUGGUGCCAUUCCGAGUCCCGCGGACGAACUUCGCCCACGCCCCCCACCAAGGCUAUAGCCCACCCGUUUUUUGGCCAUUUUUCCGCUGGGGGGUCUUGGGACCCCGACCUUCGGGGGCUGUUUUUUGGGCGCGGCUGUGCCCGUGGCCUAUUUUUGGCACACGGAGGCCGCCCGCCAAGUCUGGUGCCAUUCGGAGUCCCGCGGACGAACUUCGCCCACGCCCCCCACCAAGGCUAUAGCCCACCCGUUUUUUGGCCAUUUUUCCGCUGGGGGGUCUUGGGAGCCCGACCUUCGGGGGCUGUUUUUUGGGCGCGGCUGUGCCCCUGGCCUAUUUUUGGCACACGGAGGCCGCCCGCCAAGUCUGGUGCCAUUCCGAGUCCCGCGGACGAAUUUCGCCCACGCCCCCCACCAAGGCUAUAGCCCACCCGUUUUUUGGCCAUUUUUCCGCUGGGGGGUCUUGGGACCCCGACCUUCGGGGGCUGUUUUUUGGGCGCGGCUGUGCCCGUGGCCUAUUUUUGGCACACGGAGGCCGCCCGCCAAGUCUGGUGCCAUUCCGAGUCCCGCGGACGAACUUCGCGCACGGCCCCCACCAAGGCUAUAGCCCACCUGUUUUUUGGCCAUUUUUCCGCUGGGGGGUCUUGGGACCCCGAACUUCGAGGGCUGUUUUUUGGGCGCGGCUGUGCCCGUGGCCUAUUUUUGGCACACGGAGGCCGCCCGCCAAGUCUGGUGCCAUUCCGAGUCCUGCGGACGAACUUCGCCCACGGCCCCCACCAAGGCUAUAGCCCACCUGUUUUUUGGCCAUUUUUCCGCUGGGGGGUCUUGGGACCCCGAACUUCGAGGGCUGUUUUUUGGGCGCGGCUGUGCCCGUGGCAUAUUUUUGGCACACGGAGGCCGCCCGCCAAGUCUGGUGCCAUUCCGAGUCCCGCGGACGAAUUUCGCCCACGCCCCCCACCAAGGCUAUAGCCCACCCGUUUUUUGGCCAUUUUUCCGCUGGGGGGUCUUGGGACCCCGACCUUCAGGGGCUGUUUUUUGGGCGCGGCUGUGCCCCUGGCCUAUUUUUGGCACACGGAGGCCGCCCGCCAAGUCUGGUGCCAUUCCGAGUCCCGCGGACGAACUUCGCCCACGCCCCCCACCAAGGCUAUAGCCCACCCGUUUUUUGGCCAUUUUUCCGCUGGGGGGUCUUGGGACCCCGACCUUU
Molecule: long non-coding RNA, 2575 nt
Filed under: Citrus x clementina
Lineage: Eukaryota; Viridiplantae; Streptophyta; Magnoliopsida; Sapindales; Rutaceae
Description: Citrus clementina (C. clementina) long non-coding RNA (CCLE_LNC005054)
Source: RNAcentral